This 460-nucleotide ribosomal RNA is filed under the name uncultured bacterium. RNAcentral's name for it is "partial 16S ribosomal RNA". It matches the Rfam family "Bacterial small subunit ribosomal RNA", at positions 338 to 795 of the family's 1533-position model. The record is from RNAcentral.
CCUACGGGAGGCAGCAGUGAGGAAUAUUGGUCAAUGGACGAGAGUCUGAACCAGCCAAGUAGCGUGAAGGAUGACUGCCCUAUGGGUUGUAAACUUCUUUUAUAUGGGAAUAAAAUGUUCCACGUGUGGGAUUUUGUAUGUACCAUAUGAAUAAGGAUCGGCUAACUCCGUGCCAGCAGCCGCGGUAAUACGGAGGAUCCGAGCGUUAUCCGGAUUUAUUGGGUUUAAAGGGAGCGUAGGUGGAUUGUUAAGUCAGUUGUGAAAGUUUGCGGCUCAACCGUAAAAUUGCAGUUGAAACUGGCAGUCUUGAGUACAGUAGAGGUGGGCGGAAUGCGUGGUGUAGCGGUGAAAUGCAUAGAUAUCACGAAGAACUCCGAUUGCGAAGGCAGUUCACUGGACUGCAACUGACACUGAGGCUCGAAAGUGUGGGUAUCAAACAGGAUUAGAUACCCUUGUAGUC